Molecule: long non-coding RNA, 2447 nt
Filed under: Salmo salar (Atlantic salmon)
Lineage: Eukaryota; Metazoa; Chordata; Actinopteri; Salmoniformes; Salmonidae
Description: lncRNA (ENSSSAG00000109301.1, ENSSSAG00000118760.1)
Source: RNAcentral
UGACUUGACUUGACCUAGAAGGGGUGUCCUCCACUGUGACCACCAGGAAAGCGAUGAUGCCUUGCCGGGUAUGGGAUUCAGGAGCGGUAUCGGAGCUCAGAGGCCCGAAUUCUGUACUGGGAAUUCUGCCAUCACCACCAGUAAGAAAAUAAUUCCACUUUGGCUUAGAGGGGAGAAAGGUUUUGCUUUAGAGUCUUGGCCCCUGACUGUCGGUUAGUCAAGCAUAAACAGAUCAACAAAAACCAGAAAUGUUUAUAAUAUACAGUAGCAGCAGCUGCAAUAGGAUGGUUCAAUGCAGACUUUAAUUGAAAUAAUAUCAGUUUUCUUUCAAAUAUAUUGAAUGAAUCAAUUCCAGCCUCGUACCUGAGGUUGAAUAGAAAUGUAAUUACAUACAGUGACCAAUAGAGACCACCAGAGGCCCAGAAUAUAGAGAUGUGAGAUGAGAACUCAUCACACAUAGUUCAUGGUUGCAUGGGCCCAAGACCCUCAGUCCAUUGUGUGUGUGUGUGUGUGUGUGUCUGAUGGAGGUGUGUGUUUGUGUGUGUGUGUCUGAUGGAGACGUGUGUGUGUGUGUCUGAUGGAGGUGUGUGUUUGUGUGUGUGUGUCUGAUGGAGGUUUGUGUGUGUGUGUGUGUCUGAUGGAGGUGUGUGUUUGUGUGUGUGUGUCUGAUGGAGGUGUGUGUUUGUGUGUGUGCGUCUGAUGGAGGUGUGUGUUUGUGUGUGUGUGUGUGUGUCUGAUGGAGGUGUGUGUUUGUGUGUGUGUGUCUGAUGGAGGUUUGUGUGUGUGUGUGUCUGAUGGAGGUGUGUGUUUGUGUGUGUGUGUCUGAUGGAGGUUUGUGUGUGUGUGUGUGUCUGAUGGAGGUGUGUGUUUGUGUGUGUGUGUCUGAUGGAGGUGUGUGUUUGUGUGUGUGCGUCUGAUGGAGGUGUGUGUUUGUGUGUGUGUGUCUGAUGGAGGUGUGUGUUUGUGUGUGUGUGUCUGAUGGAGGUGUGUGUUUGUGUGUGUGUGUGUCUGAUGGAGACGUGUGUGUGUGUCUGAUGGAGGUGUGUGUUUGUGUGUGUGUGUGUCUGAUGGAGGUUUGUGUGUGUGUGUGUCUGAUGGAGGUGUGUGUUUGUGUGUGUGUGUCUGAUGGAGGUGUGUGUUUGUGUGUGUGUGUCUGAUGGAGGUGUGUGUUUGUGUGUGUGUGUCUGAUGGAGGUGUGUGUUUGUGUGUGUGUGUCUGAUGGAGGUGUGUGUUUGUGUGUCUGAUGGAGGUGUGUGUUUGUGUGUGUGUGUGUCUGAUGGAGGUGUGUGUGUGUGUGUGUGUGUGUGUGUGUGUGUGUGUGUGUGUGUGUGUGUGUGUGUGUGUGUGUGUGUGUGUGUGUCUGAUGGAGGUGUGUGUUUGUAUGUGUGUGUCUGAUGGAGGUGUGUGUUUGUGUGUGUGUGUCUGAUGGAGGUGUGUGUUUGUGUGUGUGUGUCUGAUGGAGGUGUGUGUUUGUGUGUGUGUGUCUGAUGGAGGUGUGUGUUUGUGUGUGUGUGUGUGUGUCUGACAGAGGUUUGUGUGUGCAUGUGUUCAGUGGUGUCUGAGUAAAGCAUUCUGGGCAUAGAUGAAGAGAGCCUAAGGAGUGGGUAGUGUGGGGAAGGGGGAGCUACAGGAGAUCAUUGUUAGCGAAGGAGGAGUUGGCACUGAGAGAGAGAGAACUAUUUUUGACACUACUUGUUAACACAUAUUGCCCCUAACCACAACAUUUUAUCUUAUAGAAUUAUCGUAGUUUAGUGUGAACGCUGUAUGUGUAACCUUUCAGUUGUGUGUGUCAGAGGGAGGGAGAGUAAAGGAGAGAGAAUGUGUGUGACUAGUCUGGUAAGCAUGAGUUGGCCGGUAUAAUUGUAUUCUCUCCUCCCUGGCAUAGGCAACGUUCUGCGUUUCAUAUGAGGAGCCUGAGCGUUUAGACCAAGCUGGCACAAGAUGCCUGACACACACACACACACACACACACACACACACACACACACACACACACACACACACACACACAUACACACAAACAGCAACAAUGGUGUGCUUUAUAAGGUGCCCACCGAUGUCAUGGCAACCCCCAUAUCCUCAGAAAGAGGGAAGAUGUUGUGUGCCAAAUAAAUGCCAUGGUUACUUUUUUUAAGAAACCAAGUUGCCCAGAAACCCUUUGAAGCUUAUUAAGUGAAACCAGUGGGGAGAGAAAAAUGGAGAGAAUGAGAAAGAGAAGGAAAAGGAGAGGGGGGAAGGAAAGAGAGGGUUCAGAGAAGGAGAAGGGAGAAAGAGAAGCAGAGAAAGAAAUGGGGAAAGAGUGACGGGGUGAGGAGGGAGAAGGGGAGAAAGAAAGUGUGAGGUGGAGAUUGAAAGAAGGAGAAAGGCAGAGAGAGAAGGAGGAAAAGUGGGAGUGUAUCCGGUUUCUGGGCCAAAGUGUGUCUUUGUUUUAAGGAAAGGACACUGUG